RNAcentral lists this long non-coding RNA (206 nucleotides) under Brassica napus (rape). RNAcentral's name for it is "long non-coding RNA (BNAP_LNC016966)". Lineage: Eukaryota; Viridiplantae; Streptophyta; Magnoliopsida; Brassicales; Brassicaceae. The record is from RNAcentral.
CAUUACAACUAUGAUAAACAACAACAACUAUUGAUAAUGAUGAACCAUUGCAAUUCUUAGUGACAACCCUUGUAAUUAUUGAUAAUGGUAGACUUUAGUUAUGUACCAUUGUAAUUUUUGGUGAUUACCAUUAUGAUAAUUGGUUAACCAUUGCAAUGUUCUGAUUGUUAAUCAUUGCAACCCUCAACUUUCUAUAUAAAAAUUGU